Macaca fascicularis (crab-eating macaque) is the source of this 1547-nucleotide long non-coding RNA. Lineage: Eukaryota; Metazoa; Chordata; Mammalia; Primates; Cercopithecidae. The record is from Ensembl.
AACAGGCUCCACAGUGUCCACAGUGAGUGUGAGGGUGAAGAAGCAGCCACACUCAUUGACACAGCUGGUGGUGGAAAGAGGCACGCACUUUUGGAAGGGAAUUCAGCAGGGCCUACCCAGGUUGUAAGUGUGUCUCCCUUGUGACCCAGACAUUCUGUUUCUGAGAAUACAUCUUUUACAAAACUUCUCACAUAUGUGCAGACAUAUAUUUAUAGAGAUGUUCUCUGGAGCACUGGUUAUUCUUACAAAACAUGGGGAAAAUCCAAAGGUCUAGCAAUGGGGUUUGGGUAAGUAAAUACAGUGGAAAACCCUGCAGCUCACUUAAAGAGAAGAUCUGCAAGAACUGAUGGGGAAGGACGCGUGAUGCCUCUGCAGGUGCAAGGCUGAGGCUCCUGGACCAUCUGCCAAGUGGUGAUGCUGCCCUGUCUGUGAACAUGUGGAGCUGGUAAAAUGGAUGAUGAUUCAGAGAACAUGGCACAGCAAGGCAUAGUUGCUUUUGUUAUAUAAGAUAAUUUCUAUAAAUUAUUUCAAGGAAUUAGACUAAAAUUAUGGGAUAUUCUCUAGUCUGUGUCUCUUCCAUAUGUCAUGAGAAUUUUACUUACCUCUCAAGUGCCCCAAGUGAAAAAAAAAUUGGACUUGGAUGUGUUGUCAACUGUCUUGGGAUUACAAAAGGGAGGAGCAUUGCCUUGGGGAGAGAGGCAGUGAGUGAUCUUGCUGGGGACAAGCUGAUUUGGGUUCACCUGCUUGUCCCCUUACCCUAUCCCUGUCUGCCUAAGCUGGAGUGGGAAUAGGGGCUGCAAGUUCCACUCUAACUUUGCAAGGUUUCAAAGAGAAAAGUCAUCAGCGGAAGGUUGAGAAGUUCAUGUGGGUGAAAUGCAAUUAUUCCUAGUGUCCCCUUCUGUGGAAACCCGCCUUCCUGAGAAGUGAUGGUCUCUUGGAGUUCUGAACCGCUUCCCUCACUAAGUUUUAAAAAAGAAAUUAUUUGGGACUUGGAAGACAGAAGGGAGUCUUCCCCACUCUGUGACCAAAAGCUCCCUUAGGAUAAUGUUUUUUGGGAACUGCCACCACCACUGGAACAAAAUACAACACCACUAACAACAAACAGGCCAGGCCAGUAGCUCGCGCCUGUAAUCUCAGCACUUUGGGAAGCUGAGGUGAGGCGAGUGGAUCACUUGAGCUCAGGAUUUCAAAACCAGCCUGGGCAACAUGGCAAAACCUAUCUCUACCAAAAAUUUAAAAAAUUCGUGGCUGGGCACAGUGGCUCAUGCCUGUAAUCCCAGCACUUCGGGAGGCCGAGGUAGGCAGAUCACAAGGUCAAGAGAUUGGUACCAUCAUGGCCAACAGGGUGAGACCCUGUCUCUACUAAAAUACAAGAAAUUAGCUGGUCGUGGUGGUGCAUGCCUAUAGUCCCAGCUACUCAGGAGGCUGAGGCAGGAGGACCGCUUGAACCCAGGAGGUGGAGGUUGCAGUGAGCCGAGAUCGUGCCAUUGUACUCCAGCCUGGGUGACAGAGCAAGUCUCCAUCUCAAAAAAAAAAAAAAAAAAAAA